Molecule: ribosomal RNA, 746 nt
Filed under: Gammarus balcanicus
Lineage: Eukaryota; Metazoa; Arthropoda; Malacostraca; Amphipoda; Gammaridae
Description: bacterial SSU rRNA
Rfam family: Eukaryotic small subunit ribosomal RNA
Source: RNAcentral
UGUUGAUCCUGCCAGUAGUCAUAUGCUUGUCUCAAAGAUUAAGCCAUGCAUGUCUAAGUCCAAGCUGUGUUCACACGGCGAGACCGCGGACGGCUCAUUAAAUCAGUCGUGGUCCAAAUGGGCCAGUGCAAAUCCUACUUGGAUAACUGUGGUAAUUCCAGAGCUAAUACAUGCAACUGAUAUCCCGAAGGCGKUGGUUGUGCUUGCUUGUCUUGCGCUCUCACUGCUCCGACGGAUGCUUUUAUUAGACCAAGCCGCUGAGGACUUGAGGGUUCGCUCUCCUGUCUGACUCGUGUGAUGGUGACUCUGGAUAACCAAUUCUGACAAGCGCACGUACUUCUCUUCUGAGCGAGACGGCGCUGCCACUUUCGAGUGUCUGCCUUAUCAGCUAUCAACCGUUCGUUAUGCGCGACCGAUGGCUUUGACGGGUAACGGGGAAUCAGGGUUCGAUUCCGGAGAGGCAGCCUGAGAGACGGCUACCACGUCCAAGGACGGCAGCAGGCACGCAAAUUACCCAAUCCCAGCAAAUGGGGGAGGUAGUGACGAAAUCUAACGAUGCGGGCGCCCUUUCUGGGGCCCCGCAAUCGGAAUGGGCACUUUCUAAACAACCUGUUGAGAACCUACUGAAGGGCAAGUYUGGUGCCAGCAGCCGCGGUAAUUCCAGCUUCAGCAGCAUCUAUUAAAGUUGCUGCGGUUAAAAGGCUCGCAGUUGAAUGUCUGUAUCGAGCGCAGGUCAGGUGGACGUU